This 858-nucleotide long non-coding RNA is filed under the name Rattus norvegicus (Norway rat). RNAcentral describes it as "long non-coding RNA NONRATT023666". Lineage: Eukaryota; Metazoa; Chordata; Mammalia; Rodentia; Muridae. The record is from RNAcentral.
AAGGAAGAAACCGUUACGGGCCUGGUGAAGGGGUUGAGAGUGAUAUGGCGUUGGGUAUUUAGGGAACUGGAGAAGUUGCAGAGCCAGCCAAAGCAGCAUUCCCAACGAAAAGUCCGGGACUGGCUUAAAGCUGCGACUGCUGCUUGCCGUGUGGUGUUUCCGGCCUUCGUUUCCCCUUCCUACCCUUUAUAGAGAUACCACUGCACCAAGCUUUUAAAAGUAUCAUUUCAUCUCCAAUUCUCCAGAACAACAUAGAGACUUUAUUAUCACCAUCGUCGUCGUCGUCGUCGUGGUCAUCAUCAUCAGUUUUUCCAGACAGGGUUUCUUUUUCCUGGCUGUCCUGGAGCUUGCUCUGUAAAUCAAGCUGGCCUCAAAUUCAGAGAUCCUCUUGCUUCUGCUUCCCAAGUGCUGUGAUUAAAGGCAUGUGCCACCAAGAUUUGAGGACUUAAAAAGUUACUUCUAUGGCCGGAGUUAACAUACCAGGAAUACCAGGCUCCAAUCCUAGGGGCUCUUUCCUAGCUUGAGCAAGCAAAAGCGGGGCCUUCUUUAGUUCAUCUCCAGGAUGCCAGCACUCAAUAUGGGGCCUGACAUAGGAUAGGCAUCAUAAAUAUUCCACGAGUUGCAGGAAUUGAGCAGCAGUGACAAGAGAAGAGCCAAGGAGCCCAGGAACACCCAGUUCUUCCCUGGCUAGCCUCAGGGUAGCUUCUCAGUGUGCCAGCCUCAGUGUGAGCCAACGGAGGGAAGCGGGAGGAAGCUGGGAGGGCUUCCAUACGCCGGGACCUGUAUUUGCGUUCAUCCCAUGUCUCUGUGCAUUAGUUUUUUGGGGGAAUGAAAGUAAUAAAUCAGAACUCAAGACUG